UGGGGAAUCUUCCGCAAUGGGCGCAAGCCUGACGGAGCAAUGCCGCGUGAACGAAGAAGGUCUUCGGAUUGUAAAGUUCUGUCCUCAUCGAAGAGAGGGAUUAAUGUAAAGAAUGUUAAUCUAGGACGGUAGGUGAGGAGGAAGCCCCGGCUAACUACGUGCCAGCAGCCGCGGUAAUACGUAGGGGGCAAGCGUUGUCCGGAAUCACUGGGCGUAAAGGGCGCGUAGGCGGUAAUAUAAGUCAGAUGUGAAAGGUGGGGGCUCAACCCCUAGAGUGCAACUGAUACUGUAUAACUUGAGUGUGAGAGAGGGAAGCGGAAUUCCUAGUGUAGCGGUGAAAUGCGUAGAUAUUAGGAGGAACACCAGUGGCGAAGGCGGCUUUCUGGCUCAUAACUGACGCUGAGGCGCGAAAGCGUGGGGAGCAAACAGG
RNAcentral lists this ribosomal RNA (430 nucleotides) under uncultured bacterium. Its description in RNAcentral is "bacterial SSU rRNA". It matches the Rfam family "Bacterial small subunit ribosomal RNA", at positions 355 to 776 of the family's 1533-position model. The record is from RNAcentral.